CAACUGCAACGGUGAUUUUAGAUGAGUCCUUACCAUUAAUCCUUAGCAUUAUUUCAAUAUAAUAUUAUUAUUUUGGUUUAAUUAGCUAGGGAUCAAUCCUUCAAGAAGGAUUGGAAGGACUCAAUCCUUAACACACGUGUCUCUCUCUAUCUCUCCUCCCACGCUCUCUCUCUCGAUCUCUCCUUGCUCCAUCAUCUCCCACCAUGAUCCUAUCUCUCUCUCUCUCUCUUUACUUCAUUUCUCUCACUCGGACACUGCAAAUUGCCAGUCGAGAUUUGUCACCGCCUGUUUUAUAAUUCCUCUUCUCCCUUUUCGUUUUUUCCCCGUAUCAAUGGAUCCUACAAUUCCUCUUCAAUCAUAUUUGUGGGUUUGUUUUGGUGUUACUGCAAUCAUGACGUGGGUUGUUCCUUGAAGUUAGGUUGUUAAAGAAAUUAGAAUUUUUGCUAAGGUUUUUUUUUUUUUAAAUGACUUGUUUGUGUCUGGCAGGGGAAGUGAAAUGGCUCUUAUCAAUUUGGAAGCUCAUGUGUUGCUGCUCAGUGGGGGAUUCGUCGUCCUCAUGUUGCAGUCAAAGCUUCUUUUUAUCCAACCAGAUUGGAAUCUCACCAUGACAACAGUUGCAUCAGCCAAAUAAAUUGUUUGGGAGCUUCACAGUCGAGUAUGUUUUCACAUGGCUCCUUGCCCUUCUUGUCACUUGUAAUGGGACAGUCCCGUAAUUCACAUUCUCGUAGAGGAGCUCGCUUCACCGUUAGGCCUUAGGUUGAGUAAACAAAAUAUACUUUUGAGUUUAUGUCGUGGAUCCCAAUAACGUCGGAACGUUACGGAUGCAGUAGAAGUGAAUGGAGGGAUUAUUGUGUCGGUGGUGAAGGAGGAAGAUUGGUUUAAGAAGCAGAGGAGCCGAGUGAAAGUGAUUGACUAUGGCGAAGCUGUCAUCAUGCCUGGUCUUGUUGAUGUGUAAGUUUGAUCUUAAACCACAUCACCAAGGACUCGGUUCUGUGUAGUUUAUGCUUCCUUCUGGAACAAUGGCUGCUGCUGCUGGUAAUCAAAUCAUGUUUCAAUUACUUUGAGACAUGAAACAUGAACUCUUUCUUUUUUUUUUGAACUUCAUGAAUACAAAACGCUAAGGACUCCAAUUCAAGUAA
Molecule: long non-coding RNA, 1139 nt
Organism: Brassica napus (rape)
Lineage: Eukaryota; Viridiplantae; Streptophyta; Magnoliopsida; Brassicales; Brassicaceae
Exons: 2
Source: RefSeq, a predicted model, not a curated record